UGUGCGGGCACCGGUCGGCCUAUGGAACCACUGUUGUGUGCUCCGUGCAUUACGUCGAAGGCAAAUACGCCCUCUAAUCGGUGUGGACUUGCNCGCACCGGUCGGGCUUGAUAUCUCAAGCCCGUAGCGACGGUACACCUAAUGUUUUCACCUAGGACGUGAAAGCGUUAGG
RNAcentral lists this unclassified non-coding RNA (172 nucleotides) under Artemisia palustris. RNAcentral describes it as "partial external transcribed spacer". Lineage: Eukaryota; Viridiplantae; Streptophyta; Magnoliopsida; Asterales; Asteraceae. The record is from RNAcentral.